GACGAACGCUGGCGGCGUGCUUAACACAUGCAAGUCGAACGGAAAGGCCCUGCUUUUGUGGGGUGCUCGAGUGGCGAACGGGUGCGUAACACGUGAGUAACCUGCCCUUGACUUUGGGAUAACUUCAGGAAACUGGGGCUAAUACCGGAUAGGAGCUCCUGCUGCAUGGUGGGGGUUGGAAAGUUUCGGCGGUUGGGGAUGGACUCGCGGCUUAUCAGCUUGUUGGUGGGGUAGUGGCUUACCAAGGCUUUGACGGGUAGCCGGCCUGAGAGGGUGACCGGCCACAAUGGGACUGCGAUACGGCGCAGACUCCUACGGGAGGCAGCAGUGGGGAAUAUUGUACAAUGGGCGGAAGCCUGAUGCAGCAACGCCGCGUGCGGGAUGACGGCCUUCGGGUUGUGAACCGCUGUCGCCUGUGACGAAGCGGGAGUGACGGUAAUGGGUAAAGAAGCACCGGCUAACUACGUG
Molecule: ribosomal RNA, 468 nt
Filed under: uncultured bacterium
Lineage: Bacteria
Description: partial 16S ribosomal RNA
Rfam family: Bacterial small subunit ribosomal RNA
Source: RNAcentral